GUUUAGCAUCACUUCACAUCUAUCAUACCCUUAUCGAGCAGCAAUUUAAGCAAGAUAAUCGAUGAACAUGUGACAUUCAAUUAUGCUAUUCAAUGCCGCUUGUCAAUUGAUGUUAGAAAAGGUCAAUUACAACGAAAUCUUACAUACAUAGAGAGGGUCAACUACAAGAGGUUUAAGACACCCCUCGUUUAUCUUUGAGCUUUGUCUGAAGGGUGGUGAUGUAACACACCCAUCUAAAGAGGUUGUGUGUCCCAAAUCGACAAUCACACGGGGAGGGAACUUGAAAAUUCAUGAGCCGGUCGGGCUCCACUAGUGCACCACCCACAGUGUCAAAAGAACGACCAUCCAGAUCAUGUCGACUAGCCUCAAUCGGUGAUCCUAAUACUAACCUUGCUGAUCAGCUUCACAUAAUGCAACUGCAGAUGGAUUUGAUGCAAAAACAUAAUGUACGAGUAGUUCCACUAUCAAAAUGAGUUCAGCAGGGUCCUGGCUUUGAUAUAUUCCAAGAGGACAUUCCCUCAACUGCAUUUACCACCUGAACACACUGCAAAUCCAAACCCACCUCCCAUGGCGUCGACAAUGACGAAGACAAUUAAUAUCUUCCAUCAGGUAAGUUUUCAUCCUUUUUUAUUUAAUUUUUUUGAGGAUAAUAUUUAGUUAAAAUUUUUUUUGGGGGGG
Molecule: long non-coding RNA, 678 nt
Filed under: Olea europaea subsp. europaea
Lineage: Eukaryota; Viridiplantae; Streptophyta; Magnoliopsida; Lamiales; Oleaceae
Source: RNAcentral